UAUAAGGCUGGGACAAAUCACUCCAGGUGGGGGGACAGUCUAAGAGCUUCUGCUGAGACGGACUGAGAAGUAUAAAUACUGGUCUCAACAGUGGGGGACAGAGCAGCGGGAGAUUCGGAGUCACAAAGCCCUCAAAGAGAAGAUGACGAUGCUCACAGACCCUGCAGUACAGCCUCCAUGACACCGCACCUGUGGUUCUGAACUGAACUGCGUCCUCCAGUGACGACAGCAAACCCAUUCUCAUGUCUACAUGACGACUAGGGGCUUUUGGCAAUUUCAGCUCUUUCUUGCUUUCCAAUGACAAAGCUACACAGACUCAAAAGAAUGGUUUUACUGACCAAAAACCUGCUACUUGGCAAUUCCCUCAAGUUGGAGCUGGAGUAGUCUACGUGGGUCAGGAAGCAAAAAAAAUUCCAACUGUUCAGGAGUGAGGUUGGGACUUUCCAAAAUCAAAAACUUCAGCCUUUACAAGCUUAAGCCAAAAAUAACGGAGAAGAAAGAGUCA
Long non-coding RNA from Suricata suricatta (meerkat), 505 nucleotides. RefSeq lists it as uncharacterized. The record is from RefSeq and is a predicted model, not a curated record. The transcript has 2 exons. NCBI's taxonomy places the organism in Eukaryota, Metazoa, Chordata, Mammalia, Carnivora, Herpestidae.